This 1114-nucleotide long non-coding RNA is filed under the name Olea europaea subsp. europaea. Lineage: Eukaryota; Viridiplantae; Streptophyta; Magnoliopsida; Lamiales; Oleaceae. The record is from RNAcentral.
UCUACAACUAUGGUAAAUUUCAGAAUUCUUCCAACCAUUCUAACAUAUAAUUAAACCAUAAAAUAAUGUCAAAAUUUUUCCUAUUGUGGCACGAAUUAAACGAACAAGCAAAAUACAAGCUCAAAUUGGUAUAAUUCUCACUAAUUUUUAGAUGCCAGCAAGGAAAACCCCAAAAAGACAAAGCAAAAUAUGGCAAAAUUAGAUUCUUGUAGGGAAAACCCCAAAAAUGAGAAUAUAAUUCUCACCAAUAUUUUUAAUCUCCAAAUAUAAAGCUCAAAUUGGUGACUUGUAUACAAUACAUCGAAAAUAGUAGCAACCGUAAAACCCUUACAAAAUCAAAGGCAUGAUAACCAAAACAAAUCCAUGUCAAAAUCAAAAAAUGUCAUUGACGGAGACGAAGAAUUCAUUUCGUUGAACACAAAUAUAAAACCCUUACAAAAACAUAGCAACAACCACAACAAUUGCUUACUCUCAAGCGAUGCAUAUAAAUGAUGUGUUCAUAGGCAGAUGAUGAUUUUGGUGUAGACUUCAUGGUUGCUGGAAGUUUGCAGCUCACAUCUUUUUAUCGAUCUACAAAUUCGAAUUAAUUUGUGACGGAGGUGUUUUCAAAACCCGGUCUUUGUUUUAGGGGUAAAUAAAUUGAGGUUGAUUUCUUCUUCAACGGGGUGAUGCAGGCCAGAGGUGGUGAGGAUUGUGUGUCAGCGAAACGACAGUGGCUUUCCAGGGUACAAUUUUGGGAGAAAAUGGGUGACAAAUGUGUUCAUUUUUCUUUUUGAGUUUUCAGAACCCGAUCUCUAUUUUAGGGGUAAAUAGAUUAAGUUUGAUUUUUUCUUCAACGAGGUGAUGCAGGCUGGAGGUGGUGAGGAGCGUGUGUCCGCGAAACGGUAAUGGCUUUUCAGGGUUCGAUUUUGGGAGAAAAUGGGUGACAAAUGUGUUCAUUUGUCUUUUUAAGUUUUCAAAACCCGUCUCUAUUUUCGGGGUAAAUAGAUUAAGGUUAAUUUUUUCUUCAACAAGGUUAUGCAGGAUGGAGGUGGUGCGGACCGUGUGUCGGUGAAACAGUAGUGGCUUUCUAGGGUACGAUUUUAGGAGAAAUGGGUGAGAAAUGCAUUCAUUU